Molecule: non-coding RNA, 113 nt
Organism: Acanthosepion pharaonis
Lineage: Eukaryota; Metazoa; Mollusca; Cephalopoda; Sepiida; Sepiidae
Source: the annotation of a GenBank genome assembly
UACGACCACAACACAUUGUAACACCAGUCCCCAUACGAUCACCGAAGUUAAGCAACGUCGUGGCUGGUCAGUACCUAGAUAGAUGACCGUUUGGGGAUACCAGGUGCUGUAAG